Molecule: ribosomal RNA, 465 nt
Filed under: uncultured bacterium
Lineage: Bacteria
Description: partial 16S ribosomal RNA
Rfam family: Bacterial small subunit ribosomal RNA
Source: RNAcentral
GACGAACGCUGGCGGCGUGCUUAACACAUGCAAGUCGAACGGAAAGGCCCUGCUUGCAGGGUACUCGAGUGGCGAACGGGUGAGUAACACGUUGGUGAUCUGCCCUUCACUUCGGGAUAAGCCUGUGAAACUGGGUCUAAUACCGUAUAGGAGCCAUUUUUAGUGUGAUGGUUGGAAAGUUUUUUCGGUGUAGGAUGAGCUCGCGGCCUAUCAUCUUGUUGGUGGGGUAAUGGCCUACCAAGGCGGCGACGGGUAGCCGGCCUGAGAGGGUGGACGGCCACAUUGGGAAUGAGAUAAGGCCCAGACUCCUACGGGAGGCAGCAGUGGGGAAUAGUGCACAAUGGGAGCAAGCCUGAUGCAGCGACGCCGCGUGGGGGAUGACGGCAUUCGGGUUGUAAACUCCUUUCGCUAGGGACGAAGCUUUUUGUGACGGUACCUAGAGAAGAAGCACCGGCUAACUACGUG